RNAcentral lists this ribosomal RNA (492 nucleotides) under uncultured bacterium. RNAcentral describes it as "partial 16S ribosomal RNA". It matches the Rfam family "Bacterial small subunit ribosomal RNA", at positions 29 to 507 of the family's 1533-position model. The record is from RNAcentral.
AGUGAACGCUGGCGGUAGGCCUAACACAUGCAAGUCGAACGGCAGCACAGUAAGAGCUUGCUCUUACGGGUGGCGAGUGGCGGACGGGUGAGGAAUACAUCGGAAUCUACUUUUUCGUGGGGGAUAACGUAGGGAAACUUACGCUAAUACCGCAUACGACCUACGGGUGAAAGCAGGGGAUCUUCGGACCUUGCGCGAUUGAAUGAGCCGAUGUCGGAUUAGCUAGUUGGCGGGGUAAAGGCCCACCAAGGCGACGAUCCGUAGCUGGUCUGAGGGGAUGAUCAGCCACCCUGGAACUGGGACACGGUCCAGACUCCUGCGGGAGGGCGCAGUGGGGAAUAUUGGGCAAUGGGCGCAAACCUGAUCCAGCCAUACCGCGUGGGUGAAGAAGGCCUUCGGGUUGUAAAGCCCUUUUGUUGGGAAAGAAAAGCAGCAGGUUAAUACCCCGCUGUUCUGACGGUACCCAAAAAAUAAGCACCGGCUAACUUCGUG